Molecule: ribosomal RNA, 850 nt
Filed under: Halomonas sp.
Lineage: Bacteria; Pseudomonadati; Pseudomonadota; Gammaproteobacteria; Oceanospirillales; Halomonadaceae
Description: bacterial SSU rRNA
Rfam family: Bacterial small subunit ribosomal RNA
Source: RNAcentral
CGGAAUUACUGGGCGUAAAGCGCGCGUAGGUGGCUUGAUAAGCCGGUUGUGAAAGCCCCGGGCUCAACCUGGGAACGGCAUCCGGAACUGUGAGGCUAGAGUGCAGGAGAGGAAGGUAGAAUUCCCGGUGUAGCGGUGAAAUGCGUAGAGAUCGGGAGGAAUACCAGUGGCGAAGGCGGCCUUCUGGACUGACACUGACACUGAGGUGCGAAAGCGUGGGUAGCAAACAGGAUUAGAUACCCUGGUAGUCCACGCCGUAAACGAUGUCGACCAGCCGUUGGGUGCCUAGAGCACUUUGUGGCGAAGUUAACGCGAUAAGUCGACCGCCUGGGGAGUACGGCCGCAAGGUUAAAACUCAAAUGAAUUGACGGGGGCCCGCACAAGCGGUGGAGCAUGUGGUUUAAUUCGAUGCAACGCGAAGAACCUUACCUACCCUUGACAUCGACAGAAGCCUGGAGAGAUCCGGGUGUGCCUUCGGGAACUGUCAGACAGGUGCUGCAUGGCUGUCGUCAGCUCGUGUUGUGAAAUGUUGGGUUAAGUCCCGUAACGAGCGCAACCCUUGUCCUUAUUUGCCAGCGCGUAAUGGCGGGAACUCUAAGGAGACUGCCGGUGACAAACCGGAGGAAGGUGGGGACGACGUCAAGUCAUCAUGGCCCAUACGGGUAGGGCUACACACGUGCUACAAUGGCCGGUACAAAGGGCGGCGAGCUCGCGAGAGUCAGCGAAUCCCUUAAAGCCGGUCUCAGUCCGGAUCGGAGUCUGCAACUCGACUCCGUGAAGUCGGAAUCGCUAGUAAUCGUGCAUCAGAAUGGCACGGUGAAUACGUUCCCGGGCCUUGUACACACCGCCC